GGGCGUAAAGCGUACGUAGGCGGCUUGUUAAGCAAGAUGUGAAAGCCCCGGGCUCAACCUGGGAAUGGCAUUUUGAACUGGCAGGCUCGAGUUCUGAAGAGGGUGGUAGAAUUUCCUGUGUAGCGGUGAAAUGCGUAGAUAUAGGAAGGAAUACCGGUGGCGAAGGCGGCCACCUNGGUCAGAAACUGACGCUGAGGUACGAAAGCGUGGGGAGCNAAACAGGAUUAGAUACCCUGGUAGUCCACGCCGUAAACGAUGUCAACUAGUUGUUCGUGUCAUAAACGAUGUGAGUAACGCAGCUAACGCANCUAAGUUGACCGCCUGGGGAGUACGGCCGCAAGGUUAAAACUCAAAUGAAUUGACGGGGGCCCGCACAAGCGGUGGAGCAUGUGGUUUAAUUCGAUGCAACGCGAAGAACCUUACCAUCCCUUGACAUCNNCAGUGAAUCUUUUAGAGAUAGAAGAGUGCCUUCGGGAACACUGAGACAGGUGCUGCAUGGCUGUCGUCAGCUCGUGUUGUGAGAUGUUGGGUUAAGUCCCGCAACGAGCNNGCAACCCUUAUCCUUAGUUGCCAGCACGUAAAGGUGGGAACUCUGGGGAGACUGCCGGUGAUAAACCGGAGGAAGGUGGGGACGACGUCAAGUCAUCAUGGCCCUUACGGGAUGGGCUACACACGUGCUACAAUGGCGCGUACAAUGGGAAGCUAGCUCGCGAGAGUAUGCGGAUCU
The sequence is a ribosomal RNA, 727 nucleotides long. It matches the Rfam family "Bacterial small subunit ribosomal RNA", at positions 556 to 1274 of the family's 1533-position model.